UAGAGUUUGAUCCUGGCUCAGGACGAACGCUGGCGGCGUGCCUAACACAUGCAAGUCGAGCGGAGACAUUAAGGAGCUUGCUCCGAGAUGUUUUAGCGGCGGACGGGUGAGUAACGCGUGAGCAAUCUGUCCCAUACAGGGGGAUAACACUUGGAAACAGGUGCUAAUACCGCAUGAGACCACAACGUCACAUGGCGAAGGGGUCAAAGGAGCAAUCCGGUAUGGGGUGAGCUCGCGUCCGAUUAGCUAGUUGGUGAGGUAACGGCCCACCAAGGCGACGAUCGGUAGCCGACCUGAGAGGGUGAUCGGCCACAUUGGAACUGAGAGACGGUCCAAACUCCUACGGGAGGCAGCAGUGGGGAAUAUUGGGCAAUGGGCGAAAGCCUGACCCAGCAACGCCGCGUGAGGGAAGAAGGUUUUCGGAUUGUAAACCUCUGUCCUUGGGGACGAAGGAAGUGACGGUACCCAAGGAGGAAGCCCCGGCUAACUACGUGCCAGCAGCCGCGGUAAUACGUAGGGGGCGAGCGUUGUCCGGAAUGACUGGGCGUAAAGGGCGCGUAGGCGGCUUGAUAAGUUAGAAGUGAAAGUCCUGCUUUCAAGGUGGGAAUUGCUUUUAAUACUGUUGAGCUUGAGUGCAGAAGAGGUAAGCGGAAUUCCAAGUGUAGCGGUGAAAUGCGUAGAAAUUUGGAAGAACACCAGUGGCGAAGGCGGCUUACUGGGCUGUAACUGACGCUGAGGCGCGAAAGCGUGGGGAGCGAACAGGAUUAGAUACCCUGGUAGUCCACGCGGUAAACGAUGAAUGCUAGGUGUAGGGGGUAUCGACCCCUCCCUGUGCCGGAGUAAACGCAAUAAGCAUUCCGCCUGGGGAGUACGGCCGCAAGGUUGAAACUCAAAGGAAUUGACGGGGGCCCGCACAAGCAGCGGAGCAUGUGGUUUAAUUCGACGCAACGCGAAGAACCUUACCAGGUCUUGACAUCGAUGUAAAGCCCAAGAGAUUGGGUGUCUCUUCGGAGGACAGAAGACAGGUGGUGCAUGGUUGUCGUCAGCUCGUGUCGUGAGAUGUUGGGUUAAGUCCCGCAACGAGCGCAACCCUUAUGAUCAGUUACUAACGGGUAAAGCCGAGGACUCUGAUGAGACCGCCGGGGACAACUCGGAGGAAGGUGGGGACGACGUCAAAUCAUCAUGCCCCUUAUGACCAGGGCUACACACGUGCUACAAUGGCGUAACAAAGGGAAGCGAGAGCGUGAGCUGGAGCAAAUCCCAAAAAUAACGUCCCAGUUCG
This 1282-nucleotide ribosomal RNA is filed under the name uncultured bacterium. RNAcentral describes it as "bacterial SSU rRNA". It matches the Rfam family "Bacterial small subunit ribosomal RNA", at positions 1 to 1295 of the family's 1533-position model. The record is from RNAcentral.